RNAcentral lists this long non-coding RNA (6110 nucleotides) under Gossypium barbadense (sea-island cotton). RNAcentral's name for it is "long non-coding RNA (GBAR_LNC014715)". The record is from RNAcentral. Lineage: Eukaryota; Viridiplantae; Streptophyta; Magnoliopsida; Malvales; Malvaceae.
AGCCCUGAUUUAGGGUUUCAAGUAAAAUCUGAUUCUAUUUCUACUGAUUCUGUCUCAAAUAAUGAAAAGAUUGAAUUAAAGGAUAAUAUACUUGCUGAUAAUGUCAAAUUAGACCUAGAUGUUGUAAAGCCAGAGAUGGUGGAACCAUCAUCCAGCAAUGUUGUCCCAUUUAGUGGUGAAUCACAUCCAAUGGAUGUUGAAGAUCCACCUGAGAACAAGGCACCUGUUGAUGAGAGAGAUGACAAGAAUGUUACAAAUGUAGACAUCAGUAAUAAAAAUGACAGUGCUGAGAUGGCGUACUCAGAAAAAUUAAAUUUGGAUAGAAGUUCUGGUGAUGACUCUAUGGAGGAGGAUGUGCUUGAGAAUAAACAAAUUGAUUCAAAAUGUAGUACUGAUGAAAUGGGAGAUAAGAGUGAGAAGAAUAGAGCACCUAUUGUCAAGGAGAAAAGUCCUGUUGGUGUUUUUAGAGAUGAUUUAUCUAUAGAUAAAAAGGACACCUUGGUUGAGAAUAAGAGCCGGUCUUUUGUUCCUGCUGAGAAAAGAAAGCUUCAUGGUAAGUGAAAAUGGCCUGUAAUUGUUACUGUCUUUCUUUGCAUGUGUGCAUACUUUUACCUUACUGAUAACAUUCUGAAGCUAAGGUGAUUGGAUAGUAGUGCAUGUACUUAACGGUAAUUCUUAAGACAAAUAAUUUAAAUUGGUUUUUUGAAACUUGAUCUGCUUCAGUUGCACUUGUGGAAUGUGAUAAUAUUGUUUUAAAUUCUUGUGUAUUUGAUAGUGUAUUCACUAUUUUUCCAUGGAUGGUGCAUGAUUUGGAAGAGCUUUACUUUAGAGUGCUGCAGCUUUGGUUUUGAAGAUGAUGUAUAUAGUUUUCGGCUAGAAAUUGCUUUGGUGUUCAUUUUUAAUCCUUUUAUUGGUUCCUGUGACUACCUGGAGCCUUAGACAACAAAAUUAUUGGUAUUUUUAAUAUUGAGCUUUCUCUGUUACCAAGGGAAUACAUUUUAGAAUUUUGAUCAGUCGUGAGAAUGAAAUUAAUAGUUCCCUUGUGGGUGAAUGGUGAUUCUCACCUGACGAGCUGUCUAUACAGAUCAGGAACCUGUUGGGAAUAAUGAGCUUUCUAAACGGCGCAAAUGGAAUUCUGACAAUAUAAAAGUUCCAGAACAUCAAGGCAAUCUUGCGCCCACCACAACACCUAAAGACACCCCUCAGCCUGCUGCUUUGAGACGUAACUUCUCUAGAUCAGACUCAACGGCAAGUGAAGGUACACCAAAGGAACGAGUUGGUGAGUUGUCAUCUCUCAGUCAGCUGAUACGAAUUGAAUUCUACUGAUUGUUGUUUUAACAUCUGAAUGGUUUACGUUUCAUCUUAUUUGGCAGUUCCCCCUUCACAAAAUGCUCCAACCAAUUCCCUCAGAAUUGAUCAUUUUCUUCGCCCUUUUACCUUGAAAGCUGUACAAGAACUUCUAGGGAAAACUGGGACUGUAACAAGCUUCUGGAUGGACCAUAUUAAGACCCAUUGCUAUGCUACAGUAAGACUUAUUGCUUUGUUUCCAUCUCCUCCGAUGGGACUUUCGUGGUCUAUGAUCAAUUAUUCAUUUUGGCUUUUUAUUGUUGGGCUGAUUCAAUAUAUCUAAUCAGCUUUGGGAAUUGCUUUAUUGGUGCAGUAUUCAUCUGUAGAAGAAGCAAUAGAGACAAGAAAUGCUGUUUACAACCUUCAAUGGCCACCUAAUGGUGGACGCCUAUUGGUGGCUGACUUUGUUGAUCCCCAGGAAGUUAAAACCCGGCUUGAUGCUCCACCACAGACUCCAACUACUCCUGGGACUUCUGGUUCUACUGCUCCUCAAGCUCAACCUGCUUCUCAGCCCCAGCCCUCUCCACGUCAGCAGGUUUCUAGACAGCAGCAUCCACCACCUUCUGCACUUCCUCCACCGCCUUUGUCUAACCCUCCACCAGUUAGAGAACGGCUCCCUCUUCCUCUGCCACCGGCAGAGAAAGUAGAUCCUCCUAUUGUCACUCUGGAUGAUCUAUUUUGGAAAACCAAAGCAAUUCCUCGUAUCUACUAUUUGCCUUUGUCAGAUGAACAAGUUGCAGCAAAGCAAGCAGCACAUGGCAGAAACAUCUAGCAGUAGAGCUGAGGCUAUAGUUUUAUCCCUGGCUGCUCUUCUGGUUUUCAUAUCGGUUGGUCUGUACGUUAGUUAAUGGUAAGAGAACUGUCACAUAAUUGCAUGUUUGCAGGUCUGCAGGUUUUGCUUUAUAGGAAGGAAUUGUUGCAGCCGUGCAGAGGGAACUUGUCCAGUGAUGGGUAUUGGUUUUUCUGCCGGCUACUUGUGGGCUUGAGUUCAAGUUCCAUUUAGCACUAAAAUCCUUCAAAACUGAGAUCUCUCUGUAGUAAUGGAUCGAUUAUCCUUUGUUCUAAUUUGGUUUUCCUACAGAACAAUAGCCUCAACUCUUAUGAACCUGAUUUUGUAGAAUUUAACUUUUACUCUGGAUGUUAAUUUUACAUAGAUUUGUUAAAAGGGAAUGUAGGCUUACUCGUUAUAAGUAUGUGUAGUUUCAUCCAGGGUUUUUAUCAUUUAUUUAUGUAUGUGCAACGUACUUUGAACCUGAUGAUUGAGGUUCUUCUCUUCAUCUCAUACCUUGGAUUGAGCUUCGUAUGAGAUUAGAUUUUAUUUUAAGGCAAAAACCUAAAACUAUUAGAUGAAGAUUUUUAAAGUAUUAACAGUUCACAAUGUUAGUGUUUAUAAUUGAUAAAUACAUUUAUGAAAAAAUAAAUUAUUAAAAUUUCACAAAUUAUAAAAAUAUUUAAUAUGGAUGUAAUUAUAUUUAUAAUUAUAAUGGUAAAUUUUGUCCCACUUUAAAGUUUUUGCACAAAUAAGAGUCAUAUUAAAUGGGCUAAAUUUGAUUAAUAUGCUGGGCUUUUUUAAAUUUAGACUUUAGGUCAGUUUUAAAAUUAAUUAGGGAAAUAGGCUAUUUUUAGGAGGGAGAAAGUGAAAGUGUGUUUAGCUGGACGGUAAAAUACAAUGGCUUUUUGAUCAUUGUUGCGUCAAACGGUAAAAAGAAAUUGUCAAAAAAAAAAUUUAAAAUCUCCCAACAAUAAUUUUUUUUAACUUAUAAAUACCUCCCAAUUUUUAUUGUUUUCAUUCACAUUCUUCUCUCAAUUCUCUCAAGCUUCUUAUUCAAUAUUUAUUUAUAUUUUCAUUUAAAAUAUUAUUUUUUAAUUAUAUUAAAUUUUAUUCAUUCGGGUCAAUUUCUUGAAAAUAGACGCCUCUCUAAUUUGUUUCGACGACGACCAUAUUUUUACUGCCCAAUUAGUAAUGGUAAGACGAAAUUUAAAAUUUUAUUUUUUUAAUUAUGUUAAUAUUUUUUUUAUAAGUCUAAAUAUUUUUUUUAUGUUAUAAAUAGACGGGGAGCCUCCGAUCCCUGAAAUUUAUGGGUACCGGUAAGAGGUCCGAUUCUUGCAUGCAUCUCUCAUGCAAGGGGCCUACUAUCUGUGCAGAAAAUACACCCGGUUGGACAAGUUUUCACUUUCUCUUUCCUAAAAACGAUAUAUUUUCUUAAUUAAUUUUAAAUUGAUCUAAAGGUCAAAUUGAAAAAAAAACCUGGGCAUAUUAAUCAAAUUUAGCCUAUUAAAUGUCAUUUUAAAUAUUUUACAUAUAUUUUAAAUAUUGAUAAUGUUGUUUUAAAAGAAAUUGAGUUAUUACUUUUUUUUUUUUAAUUAUACAUAAAAUUUAAAGUAUUUACCAAAAAAGUAGAUCCAUUUUAUAAUUUUGAAAUCCUUUAUGCCACCUCAAUUAUGAUGAAAAAACGAUCAAGAAGGGCAAUUUAGGCAUUUGAAUAAAACCAAAAUGGGUUUUUCUAGAACAAUUGGUCUCUGCCUUUUUGGAUUCGAUAAUACGACAGAGGCAAAUGGUUUUUUUAAAACCCUAAUUUCACCAUUGUUUCAAUUUUCUCCCCAUUUUCUCUCUCAAAAUCCUAAAAAGAAAAGAACAACCAGGUUAUAUUAUAUUCACAACAGCCAAAAAAUAAAAAUCAAUUGCUCAUCCACCACUCUCAUAAAAUUCAUUUUCUAUUUUCCAUUUACUUUUUUUUUAUUUUGUUUUUUCUUCUAAUUUUUCCUUAUUUUCGAUAACUUUCUCUUUGUUGAAAACUAGGGUUUGCGCUAAUGGUGGGUUUUGUCUGUUGAAAUUAGGGUAGUUUUGGGAUAAAUUUUCAAUUCUCCUGUAAGGGAAGUGUGGUUGUAGUGGCUUCCCAAAUAUAUAGGCCUGUGAGUAAUCUCUAUUUCUUUCCUCUCUGCAUGCAUUUUUAAUGGGUGUUAUUGCAAUUUUUUUUUAUAAAUACGAUUAGUUUUGGGUGCGAUUGUUUCAGUUCAUUAGUUUCUUGUUAAAUCGGCAUUUCGUUUCUUGCUGGUUAUGAAUUUAUUUUUCAUUACGGAAGCUAGGAUAAAGAAAAUUUUGGGCUGGAAAUGUAUUUACUGUUUUUUAUGCCUUAUUUUGUUCGUAUUUGUGCUUUUUGGGAGAAAGGGGAGCUUUCUUGUAUAUAUUCUUUGUCCAGGCAAAUAAGGUGUUUUUUUUAAACCCUCGUUUUGUGGUGUCAGGUUUUGUGUUAACUAAAUACUUCAUUGCUUUCCUUUUCUAUAUUUUACAUGAAGAUUUGCUAUUCUUCUGGGUUAAUUUCCUGGAAUUAUUUUAUUGGCUUUGCUGCAUUUAUUCAAAUUGUUUAAACAGCUAUAUAUCAUUCCUUCGGCUCCUUUAUUUCUUCUACCUUAUAAGCACGAUUUAACUUUAUUUUGCAGUAUAACAUGCUUUCUUUGGUCUUGUUGGCGCUUUAUUUCUACUGCACAUGUUUUACUAGAAUCUUUUUUGUUUGGCUUUUUUGGUGAAUGACUGAGAAAUGUGACCUUUUCUAGUAGGUUUGAAGGUGAGUUUGGGUUGGAAAAGAUGUCAUCAAAAUAUCAAAUACUUGACAAUAGACCAAUUGAUCAAUGGAAGGUUACAGAGUUGAAAGAAGAACUUAAGAGGCGGAAACUGACAACUCGGGGCUUGAAAGAGGAGUUGGUAAGACGUUUGGAUGAGGCCGUUAGAUUGGAAAGGGAAAAUGGUGAAACUGAGGAAGAUAAUGGUUUUAAUUCUGAUCCCCAGCCUACAGAUGAGCGAGGGAUUGAAAAGGCAAUUCCAGUUAUUGUUGAGACAGUUAAAGAUGAUGUGGAUCAUAGUGGCCGUGAGAUCGAGAAGGAGAGUGGGGUGAAGGUUCAUGUUGACAUUAAUGAGAGUGCAGCUGCUUUGGGUCAUGAAGGAGUUCAAGGAAGCGACAGCUUGGUGGAAAAGGAGCUUGUUUCUGAAACCACCACUAUUCAGACUGAGAUAACGGUUACCAAGAAUGUGGUAUCUGAGGUACCAUCUACUGAGAAAGAGAGCUCAGGGCAAAAUGAGAAUGUGAAUACUGAUAUCAAAGUGGAGGGUAAGGAUCCUAAGCUCCAGUUCGAGACUGAUGAUCCAAAGCCUGAGGUGGAGAAUGAUGAUCCAAAGGGCAAACUGCAGGGUUCAAAUCCUCAGCUGGAGAGUGAUGAUUCAAAGCCUCAGCUUGACAUUGAAGAUUCGAAGGUGCAGCUGGAGAACGGGGGUUUGAAGGUUCCACACGAGGAUGAUGUGCAUGAUUCUUCUGCUCCGAACAUCCAGGUAUCUGAGGUCAGCCCUGAUUUAGGGUUGCAAGUAAAAUCUGAUUCUAUAUCUACUGAUUCUGUCUCAAAUAAUGAAAAGAUUGAAUUAAAGGAUAAUAUACUUGCUGAUAAUGUCAAAUUAGACUUAGAUGUUGUAAAGCCAGAGAUGGUGGAACCAUCAUCCAGUAAUGUUGUCCCAAUUAGUGGUGAAUCACAUCCAAUGGAUGUUGAAGAUCCACCUGAGAACAAGGCACCUGUUGAUGAGAGAGAUGGCAAGAAUGUCACAAAUGUAGACUUGGGUAAUAAAAAUGACAGUGCUGAGACGACCUACUCGGAAAAAUUAAAUUUGGAUAGAAGUUCUGGUGAUGACUCUAUGGAGGAGGAUAUGCUUGAGAGUAAACAAAUUGAUUCAAAAUGUAGUACUGAUGAAAUGGGAGAUAAGAGUGAGAAUAAUGGAG